RNAcentral lists this transfer RNA (67 nucleotides) under Volucella inanoides. RNAcentral's name for it is "tRNA-Phe". The record is from RNAcentral. Lineage: Eukaryota; Metazoa; Arthropoda; Insecta; Diptera; Syrphidae.
AUUUAAAUAGCUUAUAUUUAGAGUAUAACAUUGAAGCUGUUAGGGAGGUUAGUUUAAUCUUUAAAUA